AUACUUACCUGGACAGGGUCAAUGGGCGAUCAAGAGGGCCCAUGGCCUAGGUUGGUGACCUCCAUUGCACUCAGGAGGGGUGCCAGUCUAUGGUCUCCCCAACGUAGGAGAGCCAAUGUCAUAAUUUGUGCUAGCGGGGGCCUGCGUUCGCGCAGCCCCUGA
This is a small nuclear RNA of Prunus persica (peach), 162 nucleotides long. It matches the Rfam family "U1 spliceosomal RNA". From Rfam's summary of the family: U1 is a small nuclear RNA (snRNA) component of the spliceosome (involved in pre-mRNA splicing). Its 5' end forms complementary base pairs with the 5' splice junction, thus defining the 5' donor site of an intron. Lineage: Eukaryota; Viridiplantae; Streptophyta; Magnoliopsida; Rosales; Rosaceae. The record is from Rfam.